This 316-nucleotide long non-coding RNA is filed under the name Lathyrus oleraceus (garden pea). RNAcentral's name for it is "Pisum sativum (pea) long non-coding RNA (PSAT_LNC011492)". The record is from RNAcentral. Lineage: Eukaryota; Viridiplantae; Streptophyta; Magnoliopsida; Fabales; Fabaceae.
CUCUCCGUCCUAAAUUAUGAUAUUUUAUGAUGAAUUAAGAAACAUAAUCAAUAAUAUAUAAAAAAUAAAAAGUAUAUAUUAUUUUAUAAUAUUAUCCUUCAUUUAUUAUAAAUGAAAGAUAAAUUUAAAGAAUUGAGAAAAGGAAUAGUAAUACCUAUUUCUUGGAUUUAAUUGGCAAUUCAUUGAAAAAGUAUUCAGACGUUUUCAAAUCUCAACAACUGUAUUUUAAUAUUUUUUAAUUUUAUUUUUAAUUUUUUCCUAUGACUUAUUAUCUUAGUUAACAUGACAACAGAGGGAGAAAGUAUUCAGAAGACAC